RNAcentral lists this ribosomal RNA (487 nucleotides) under swine fecal bacterium FPC46. RNAcentral's name for it is "bacterial SSU rRNA". It matches the Rfam family "Bacterial small subunit ribosomal RNA", at positions 7 to 509 of the family's 1533-position model. The record is from RNAcentral.
GAGAGUUUGAUCCUGGCUCAGGACGAACGCUGGCGGCGUGCCUAACACAUGCAAGUCGAGCGAGGAGAUUCCCUUCGGGGAUGAACCUAGCGGCGGACGGGUGAGUAACACGUGGGCAACCUGCCUUAUAGAGGGGAAUAGCCUUCCGAAAGGAAGAUUAAUACCGCAUAACAUUACAUUUUCGCAUGAAGAAGUAAUUAAAGGAGUAAUCCGCUAUAAGAUGGGCCCGCGGCGCAUUAGCUAGUUGGUGAGGUAACGGCUCACCAAGGCGACGAUGCGUAGCCGACCUGAGAGGGUGAUCGGCCACAUUGGGACUGAGACACGGCCCAGACUCCUACGGGAGGCAGCAGUGGGGAAUAUUGCACAAUGGGGGAAACCCUGAUGCAGCAACGCCGCGUGAGUGAUGAAGGUCUUCGGAUCGUAAAGCUCUGUCUUCAGGGACGAUAAUGACGGUACCUGAGGAGGAAGCCACGGCUAACUACGUGCC